UUGGAGGGCAAGUCUGGUGCCAGCAGCCGCGGUAAUUCCAGCUCCAAUAGCGUAUAUUAAAGUUGUUGCAGUUAAAAAGCUCGUAGUUGAAUUUCGAGACCGGUUUACUGGUCGUGCUUUUGUACGUACUGGUAUUAUUGGUUUCUCCUUUCUGACGAAUCAUAAUGCCAUUAAUUUGGUGUUUUGGGGAAUCAGGACUGUUACUUUGAAAAAAUUAGAGUGUUUAAAGCAGGCUCACGCUUGAAUACAUUAGCAUGGAAUAACGAAAUAGGACGUUUGA
This 280-nucleotide ribosomal RNA is filed under the name uncultured Glomus. RNAcentral describes it as "partial 18S ribosomal RNA". It matches the Rfam family "Eukaryotic small subunit ribosomal RNA", at positions 548 to 834 of the family's 1831-position model. Lineage: Eukaryota; Fungi; Glomeromycota; Glomeromycetes; Glomerales; Glomeraceae. The record is from RNAcentral.